This 2672-nucleotide long non-coding RNA is filed under the name Triticum aestivum (bread wheat). RNAcentral describes it as "long non-coding RNA (TAES_LNC008131)". Lineage: Eukaryota; Viridiplantae; Streptophyta; Magnoliopsida; Poales; Poaceae. The record is from RNAcentral.
AGUGUACACAGAAGCACCAGAGACGUUUGAUCAAUCUCACUAAAUCACAUCCAACGUUCUAUAUUACAUCAAAGGUCUGCCACACCAAUCAACACUCAGGAUUAAAUGUUCUGCCAGGGCAGACGCCCACGUCCUACUUCUCCCACGAUCUACCUCACGCAAAGAAGCCGUCGCACAACACACCACUUUAGUACGGAUCCCACGCCCGCACAAGGAAACAGCACGUCCAAUUCGCAUGGACUUGCUCGACUAUACGGAAAGAAAUCUGCUAAAUUAGGGGGGAAUCAAUCCAGGCGUCCGGCUUGACAUGCGCCAUCGCUGCUCGCUGCCCUGCGCAGACGUCGAGGCACCGGACAACGACCGCGACGACGAGCUCUUCGCCAGCACAAGUGCAACCGCCGAGUCACCUGACGAUGGCCACAACGACGAGCUCUUCUCCAUCACAGAUGCAGCCGCCGAGGCGCUCGUCCACGGCCGCGCUGACGAGCUCGUCACCAACACAGGUGCAUGCUCUUCAGUAUGUAACUGACCUCACCUAAAAGCCUUGCCAAUCUGCAUAUGGAUCGUCCAAUGCUUUAGUUACAAGUAAUAUGAACACAAAUAAAGACACACCCAGAAAGAGACCUAGAUGAAUGGUAUUACCAACUACUACAUCAUGUUGCAUUAUUCCUUCUGACAGUUGUAUUAUAACAUUCUUGACAUUCACAGGGUUAAAGGACAAUGUAUGGUCCCGACCACUCCCGACGGGACGCUCACCCCGUGCCAGCAUAUAAGCAACACCCAAUACUUGGGUCAUGAUCAGUACCCAAGCACCCGAUUCAGUUUUGUUGCUCAAAUAUGGAAUUGUGUCAUUGAUUGCAGACCCUAAAGAAGUAAAAAUGGUAGAGGGAUAGAGAGCAGUAUGCACAAAAUAGGGAUGAGAUUAAUAAGAGACGGUGUGAGGUCUAUAAACAGAAGAAAAUUGCCGCAGCCGAGAUCAAUGGGGCACAGACCCAGCUGGCUGUAUCACAAGGUAAUGAUGAUCAACUUCAUGAUAUAUGGCCCAGUUUUAUUGCUAUAUAAUGAUCUAUGAUCUGUUCUUCAAACGUGCAGACCGUAAUGAGAUAAAGAAUUAGAUGGAAAGGGAGUGGUACGCACAAAAUAGAGAGGACAUUCUAAACCGACAACGUCCAACCCGCGAGCAAAAUAAGCAUAUUGCUGCUGUCCUUGAUGGCAGUAACAUUGUAACACAGGUGCCGGCUACCGGACAAUCGGCAGUCACACAACUGCAGAACAUAACAUGUGCAGGUGGUGCAGUCACUGGAUUGUUGCUCAACUGCUAAACUGUGUCAUGAAUUGCAGAGCCUAAAUAAAUAAAAAGGCAAAGGGAUAGAGAGCGGUAUUGUAGUUGGUCCUAUCCUGAAUCUCUCAUCAAGGCAGAUAUGAGUGGACGUUCCAAAAGCACUUCUACGGUUUGUAGUUAGUCCUACCACCCCAUCUUCUCAAAUAAGAUUGUUUUUCUUUUUAUUUGUGGCUUGUGAUGCUAAUACUUUUUCAUUUGUUGGUGCCACAGCUAAAAGACUGGAUGAUUUAUCAACUAUGCAUCCAAGCACAUGGAACUAAAAUCCGGUAAGUGGAAUGCUCUAAAUGUUACAACAAUUUUCAUUUUUCUGUAUAUAAAUGAGGUCAUCUUCUAUUAUAAAAUUUUCAUAUUAGAUGGCUGCAGGAUAAGUAUUGCAUGAUAAACAAAAAUAGGAAAGUAAACGUAUAGGCUCGGAAACAGUUUGGAUUUUACAAGAGAAGAUCUACUAAAGUACAUUCAGGUAGAAUCAAUGGCAGAGCUAGGAUUUGCAAGCAGGUUUGUCCUCAUCUAAAAAAAAAUCCCCGUAUCCCUCCCGGUUUGAACAGAUUAUGUGCAAACUUUAUAUAUAUGUAUGUGCUCAUCAGUGAAAUGUCUCAAACUAUGCUUUGAUGUGAGACCAGUCAAACACUUACACAGUGUAAUUACAUAAACAUGUUAUGCAGAGUGUAAAUGUAGGUUUACUGGUAAACGCCAAACUAAGACCUAAAAAGUACUAUGUCAGGACCAGAUUAAAACAGGUUUUAAGAUAGCCAAAGUGUACCGUACAGUCACACAUACUUUGUCGUACACAUUUUUUUGGACAGUACAGUCAUACAUUCUUGUCCGUACAUGCAAUUCCAAAAACUCUCCUGUACGGAGAAGAGCAAGUAUAGGCAACGAAAGUUGAGUAAUUUUAGUCAAAGUCCGAAGUCACGCAAUCAUGCUUAAGGCACGAGAAUAUGUGCAGAGUCUUAGCAGAGUACAUUUGGUAUGCUAUUGUGCUUUUUUUCCCUGCAUAGCAUUCCCGAAGCACAUUUGAUCAUUUUUUGGUGUUGCAAUCAUAAAUGCUGGUCUUCUGAGCCAAAUGUGAUUUUGAGCUCUUAACAAGGUGCAUUUUGUAAGCUAUUUAUUCUUAUUUUUAACUGCAUAGCAUUAUGAAAACAGGAUGACAUAUAAGAACUGAAAUAUGAAACCCAUGCAUUGGACUACCUUAAUACACCCUUAAGUCAUUUCAGGUAAAGAGAAGCUUCGAUGUAUCACCGAGUCGAACCAAUACAUUCAACAAAUAACUGGUAUAUUCGGAAAUUAAGUGAGUAAGUACCUGAUCAUUCUGACCGAACAAAAUCCAAGA